RNAcentral lists this ribosomal RNA (533 nucleotides) under Anzaspis cordylinidis. RNAcentral describes it as "eukaryotic LSU rRNA". The record is from RNAcentral. Lineage: Eukaryota; Metazoa; Arthropoda; Insecta; Hemiptera; Diaspididae.
AUCUGGGCGGCGGAAUUCAGGAUGGUCGGGCGAGUUUCGCGCUCGCCGGGCCGUUUGAUAUUUCCGUCGCCGUGUCGGACGUCGCGACCUGUUGGCCGUCGGUCCCUGCUUCGGAGGAAUCGCGAUCGAGUUCGUUGCGCGGUGCGUUUCGGCGUGUCGCGCGGUGAAGACGCGGCUCUCUGGCUGACGGCGGACAGUAAGCAACGGUGUCCGGCGCCGUGUCUCGCACUCGGCGCCGGUGCCGGUCUGCGACGAUUUCUUCGGGCCUCUUUCCGACCCGUCUUGAAACACGGACCAAGGAGUCUAACAUGCGCGCGAGUCGCGGGGUUUCGAGCGCGCCACGGUGCGCUCGUGACUUGCGAAACCCGUACGUGGAAGGCGUAAUGAAAGUGAAUGGGGAAGAUGGCGUUCCGAGUCCACGUACCGUGAUCGAGUGUCGCGGCCGGACGUCCGCACUCCCGGGGCGUCUCAAUGGUUCGUCGCGGACGCGGACGGUCGUCUCUCGGGGCGGCCGUCGAUCUGCGCCGGACCGA